AACGAACGCUGGCGGCAGGCUUAACACAUGCAAGUCGAACGGGCACCUUCGGGUGUCAGUGGCAGACGGGUGAGUAACGCGUGGGAACGUACCCUUCGGUUCGGAAUAACCCAGGGAAACUUGGGCUAACACCGGAUACGUCCGCAAGGAGAAAGAUUUAUCGCCGAAGGAUCGGCCCGCGUCGGAUUAGCUAGUUGGUGGGGUAAUGGCCCACCAAGGCGACGAUCCGUAGCUGGUCUGAGAGGAUGANCAGCCACACUGGGACUGAGACACGGCCCAGACUCCUACGGGAGGCAGCAGUGGGGAAUAUUGGACAAUGGGCGAAAGCCUGAUCCAGCCAUGCCGCGUGAGUGAAGAAGGCCUUAGGGUUGUAAAGCUCUUUCAGCGGGAAGAUAAUGACGGUACCCGCAGAAGAAGUCCCGGCUAACUUCGUGCCAGCCGCCGCCGUAAC
This 451-nucleotide ribosomal RNA is filed under the name uncultured bacterium. RNAcentral describes it as "bacterial SSU rRNA". It matches the Rfam family "Bacterial small subunit ribosomal RNA", at positions 29 to 524 of the family's 1533-position model. The record is from RNAcentral.